RNAcentral lists this ribosomal RNA (256 nucleotides) under uncultured bacterium. Its description in RNAcentral is "partial 16S ribosomal RNA". It matches the Rfam family "Bacterial small subunit ribosomal RNA", at positions 793 to 1055 of the family's 1533-position model. The record is from RNAcentral.
GUCCACGCUGUAAACGAUGAUUACUCGGUAUUGGUCUUUUGAUCAGUGCCUAAGCGAAAGUGAUAAGUAAUCCACCUGGGGAGUACGAUCGCAAGAUUGAAACUCAAAGGAAUUGACGGGGGCCCCGCACAAGCGGUGGAGCAUGUGGUUUAAUUCGAUGAUACGCGAGGAACCUUACCAAGACUUGAACGCAUUUUGACAGUCCCGGAAACGGGAUCUUCUUCGGACAAUUUGCGAGGUGCUGCAUGGUUGUCGU